CUGCGGACACCCGGGUGACACAUUCUUUCGGAGAGGGAGGGCAAGACUUUUCUCCGGAGCCUCUGGCAACUCGUGGAGUCUAUAUAAGAUCUUCAAAGAAAGAGAUAUCCUUUCGAGGCAACACAAGAAGCCAACUACAAAUGAGAAUAUUAUUCUCUUGGUGCAGGGAUUGUUGCAUGUGGACCCCAUCAGCCUUGAAAAGUCCAUGCAAUGGAGUGAAACUUGACAAAGCAGUUGCAGUCGUUCACCAGUGAAGCAAAGUCUUCUUCCUAGUCACGCAGGUUAUAUUAUGCCCUUCAUGAUUUUAAUUUCUCUAUGAAGCAUCAGUUCCUGAAGGAAAACACACAACCCCAAGCAGAAGAAGAGUUUCUUCUUUAUAUCCCAAAAUACCCUGUGCAAAUCUCUACCGUGGCUCUUGAAACUACAUAUAGCAGUGGGCUCAACUUUUUCGUUUUUGAGCAUAGAAUUCUCAGCAGAACAUUUGAAGGCAUUAACUCAUAUUUAUCGAUGUCACUUUGUUCACUGGGUAGACCUUUAGCCUUGUGUUUCUGUUUGAGAGGGGACACUUCACACCCUGAUUUAUACAUUCAGGAGGCAUACAUCUGAAGCUUUUCAAUAAAUGCACACUUUCUCAACAGCUCUGCCUCAACGUUGCUUCUUU
RNAcentral lists this long non-coding RNA (661 nucleotides) under Homo sapiens (human). Its description in RNAcentral is "HSALNT0362064". Lineage: Eukaryota; Metazoa; Chordata; Mammalia; Primates; Hominidae. The record is from RNAcentral.